AAUGUAACUACAUGCAUGAAGUUUUUGUAUUAUAUAAAGUGACAAAAUAGUUUGUUGUUUCUUACAUAAGCAAAAGAAAGAAACAAUGACUAUAAUUCUCAAACUUGUGUAUGCUAUGAUUCUCUUGAUUUUCCUAUUUCAUUUUAUAACUGACACUGUUGCUACUGAUUGUUCUUCUGCCCUCAAUUGUACACACACUCCGUGUAUGGCACCUACACUGCCAAUGUGUUUGCAGGAUAGCUGUGUAUGCGUUUAACAGGGAAGCAGAAGUGGUUUACAUUGCUGGGUGGCUUGAAUCCUUUCAAUUUGUUUUAAAUUUUUGUUCCAUUUAGUUUGAGAUGCUCAUCUUUUGUUUUGUGUCCUUUCUAAUUUUGCAUGUCCAUGUACUUCAAUUUUUGGAACAUAUAGUGUCGUCUUUGUAAUAUUUUCUUUCA
This is a long non-coding RNA of Vicia villosa (hairy vetch), 434 nucleotides long. RefSeq lists it as uncharacterized. The transcript has 3 exons. Lineage: Eukaryota; Viridiplantae; Streptophyta; Magnoliopsida; Fabales; Fabaceae. The record is from RefSeq and is a predicted model, not a curated record.